AUUGAACGCUGGCGGCAGGCCUAACACAUGCAAGUCGAACGGUAACAGGAAGAAGCUUGCUUCUUUGCUGACGAGUGGCGGACGGGUGAGUAAUGUCUGGGAAACUGCCUGAUGGAGGGGGAUAACUACUGGAAACGGUAGCUAAUACCGCAUAACGUCGCAAGACCAAAGAGGGGGACCUUCGGGCCUCUUGCCAUCGGAGGUGCCCAGAUGGGAUUAGCUAGUAGGUGGGGUAACGGCUCACCUAGGCGACGAUCCCUAGCUGGUCUGAGAGGAUGACCAGCCACACUGGAACUGAGACACGGUCCAGACUCCUACGGGAGGCAGCAGUGGGGAAUAUUGCACAAUGGGCGCAAGCCUGAUGCAGCCAUGCCGCGUGUAUGAAGAAGGCCUUCGGGUUGUAAAGUACUUUCAGCGGGGAGGAAGGGAGUAAAGUUAAUACCUUUACUCAUUGACGUUACCCGCAGAAGAAGCACCGGCUAACUCCGUG
This 490-nucleotide ribosomal RNA is filed under the name uncultured bacterium. Its description in RNAcentral is "partial 16S ribosomal RNA". It matches the Rfam family "Bacterial small subunit ribosomal RNA", at positions 30 to 507 of the family's 1533-position model. The record is from RNAcentral.